GAUGAAGAACGCAGCGAAAUGCGAUAAGUAAUGUGAAUUGCAGAAUUCAGUGAAUCAUCGAAUCUUUGAACGCACAUUGCGCCCGCCAGUAUUCUGGCGGGCAUGCCUGUUCGAGCGUCAUUACAACCCUCAGGCCCCCGGGCCUGGCGUUGGGGAUCGGCGGAGCCCCCCGUGGGCACACGCCGUCCCCCAAAUACAGUGGCGGUCCCGCCGCAGCUUCCAUCGCGUAGUAGCUAACACCUCGCGACUGGAGAGCGGCGCGGCCACGCCGUAAAACACCCAACUCUUCUGAAGUUGACCUCGAAUCAGGUAGGAGUACCCGCUGAACUUAAGCAUAUCAAUAAGCGGAGGA
Molecule: unclassified non-coding RNA, 352 nt
Filed under: soil metagenome
Description: partial contains 5.8S ribosomal RNA, internal transcribed spacer 2, and large subunit ribosomal RNA
Rfam family: 5.8S ribosomal RNA (bases 1-120)
Source: RNAcentral